RNAcentral lists this transfer RNA (73 nucleotides) under Felis catus (domestic cat). It matches the Rfam family "tRNA". Rfam says of the family: Transfer RNA (tRNA) molecules are approximately 80 nucleotides in length. Their secondary structure includes four short double-helical elements and three loops (D, anti-codon, and T loops). Lineage: Eukaryota; Metazoa; Chordata; Mammalia; Carnivora; Felidae. The record is from Rfam by way of RNAcentral.
ACCUGGCUGGCUCAGUAGGAAGAGCAUACGGCUCUUGAUCUCAGGGUCAUGAGUUCGAGCCCCAUGCUGGGUA